Molecule: ribosomal RNA, 468 nt
Filed under: uncultured bacterium
Lineage: Bacteria
Description: partial 16S ribosomal RNA
Rfam family: Bacterial small subunit ribosomal RNA
Source: RNAcentral
GACGAACGCUGGCGGCGUGCUUAACACAUGCAAGUCGAACGGAAAGGCCCUGCUUUUGUGGGGUGCUCGAGUGGCGAACGGGUGAGUAACACGUGAGUAACCUGCCCUUGACUUUGGGAUAACUUCAGGAAACUGGGGCUAAUACCGGAUAGGAGCUCCUGCUGCAUGGUGGGGGUUGGAAAGUUUCGGCGGUUGGGGAUGGACUCGCGGCUUAUCAGCUUGUUGGUGGGGUAGUGGCUUACCAAGGCUUUGACGGGUAGCCGGCCUGAGAGGGUGACCGGCCACAUUGGGACGGAGAUACGGCCCAGACUCCUACGGGAGGCAGGAGUGGGGAAUAUUGCACAAGGGGCGGAAGCCUGAUGCAGCAACGCCGCGUGCGGGAUGACGGCCUUCGGGUUGUAAACCGCUUUCGCCUGUGACGAAGCGUGAGUGACGGUAAUGGGUAAAGAAGCACCGGCUAACUACGUG